CCAGGGGGCCGGGCAGCCGCGAGGAAACUCGAGGAAAGUCCGGGCUCCACGAAACGAGGGUGGCGGGUAACGCCCGCCGGGGGAAACCCCAGGGAAAGUGCCACAGAGAGUAUACCGCCGAUGGAGGUCGAGACCUCACAGGCAUGGGUGAAAGGGUGCGGUAAGAGCGCACCGGGGGGCUGGCGACAGUCUCCGCAUGGCAAACCCCACCCGGAGCAAGGCCAAAUAGGGGCGGCGCGCCAAUCUCUUCGGAGUGCGGCAGGGAUGUUUUGUCCCGUGAUCGCCCGGGUUGGCUGCUUGAGCGCGCAGGAGCAAUCCUCCGCCUAGAUGAAUGGCUGCCCCUGCGGCGCUGGUCGAAAGAUACCGGUUGCAGGACAGAACCCGGCUUACAGGCCCCCUGGCACC
This 405-nucleotide RNase P RNA is filed under the name Parerythrobacter jejuensis. RNAcentral describes it as "Erythrobacter jejuensis RNase P RNA component class A". It matches the Rfam family "Bacterial RNase P class A". Rfam says of the family: Ribonuclease P (RNase P) is a ubiquitous endoribonuclease, found in archaea, bacteria and eukarya as well as chloroplasts and mitochondria. Its best characterised activity is the generation of mature 5'-ends of tRNAs by cleaving the 5'-leader elements of precursor-tRNAs. Cellular RNase Ps are ribonucleoproteins. Lineage: Bacteria; Pseudomonadati; Pseudomonadota; Alphaproteobacteria; Sphingomonadales; Erythrobacteraceae. The record is from RNAcentral.